This 478-nucleotide ribosomal RNA is filed under the name uncultured Oceanospirillaceae bacterium. Its description in RNAcentral is "bacterial SSU rRNA". It matches the Rfam family "Bacterial small subunit ribosomal RNA", at positions 97 to 570 of the family's 1533-position model. The record is from RNAcentral. Lineage: Bacteria; Pseudomonadati; Pseudomonadota; Gammaproteobacteria; Oceanospirillales; Oceanospirillaceae.
GGCGGACGGGUGAGUAACGCGUAGGAAUCUACCUAAUAGAUGGGGGAUAGCCCAGGGAAACUUGGAUUAAUACCGCAUACGCCCUAAGGGGGAAAGCGGGGGAUCUUCGGACCUCGUGCUAUUAGAUGAGCCUGCGUAAGAUUAGCUAGUUGGUGAGGUAAGAGCUCACCAAGGCGACGAUCUUUAGCUGGUCUGAGAGGAUGAUCAGCCACACUGGGACUGAGACACGGCCCAGACUCCUACGGGAGGCAGCAGUGGGGAAUAUUGGACAAUGGGGGCAACCCUGAUCCAGCCAUGCCGCGUGUGUGAAGAAGGCCUUCGGGUUGUAAAGCACUUUCAGAUGUGAGGAAAGGUUGCAGAUUAAUACUCUGCAGUUGUGACGUUAACAUCAGAAGAAGGACCGGCUAACUCCGUGCCAGCAGCCGCGGUAAUACGGAGGGUCCGAGCGUUAAUCGGAAUUACUGGGCGUAAAGCGCGC